GAUUCAUCUCUUGGAGCCUUUGAUUCAGGAGGUCCUCUCAACUGUGAGUCUCGAGGGUCUUCUGGCAGAAUGGAGGUAGAGAUCCUCCGAGGGUGGAAUCGUGAUUAGACUGAGGGCUCUCCACCCUCGAAUUCCUCUUUUCGGGGAAGACAGGGUGACUGGCCCAAGUGGCCCACCCUACUGUCGAAUUUUGAAACUUCGGUGAUGCUCUUUCCAACCGCACUGAUGCCUGCGGUUGU
Molecule: long non-coding RNA, 239 nt
Filed under: Elaeis guineensis (African oil palm)
Lineage: Eukaryota; Viridiplantae; Streptophyta; Magnoliopsida; Arecales; Arecaceae
Description: long non-coding RNA (EGUI_LNC065902)
Source: RNAcentral